UGGGGAAUAUUGCACAAUGGGCGCAAGCCUGAUGCAGCCAUGCCGCGUGUAUGAAGAAGGCCUUCGGGUUGUAAAGUACUUUCAGUCGGGAGGAAGGUGUCAAGGUUAAUAACCUUGGCAAUUGACGUUACCGACAGAAGAAGCACCGGCUAACUCCGUGCCAGCAGCCGCGGUAAUACGGAGGGUGCAAGCGUUAAUCGGAAUUACUGGGCGUAAAGCGCACGCAGGCGGUUGAUUGAGUCAGAUGUGAAAUCCCCGGGCUUAACCCGGAAAAUGCAUCUCAUACAGGUCGGCUAGAGUCUUGUAGAGGGGGGUAGAAUUCCAUGUGUAGCGGUGAAAUGCGUAGAGAUGUGGAGGAAUACCGGUGGCGAAGGCGGCCCCCUGGACAAAGACUGACGCUCGGGUGCGAGAGCGUGGGGGGCAAACAAG
This 429-nucleotide ribosomal RNA is filed under the name Chloroflexota bacterium. RNAcentral's name for it is "Chloroflexi bacterium partial 16S ribosomal RNA". It matches the Rfam family "Bacterial small subunit ribosomal RNA", at positions 355 to 776 of the family's 1533-position model. Lineage: Bacteria; Bacillati; Chloroflexota. The record is from RNAcentral.